RNAcentral lists this ribosomal RNA (484 nucleotides) under uncultured bacterium. RNAcentral's name for it is "partial 16S ribosomal RNA". It matches the Rfam family "Bacterial small subunit ribosomal RNA", at positions 28 to 523 of the family's 1533-position model. The record is from RNAcentral.
GACGAACGCUGGCGGCGUGCUUAACACAUGCAAGUCGAACGAUGAAGCCGGAGCUUGCUCUGGUGAAUUAGUGGCGAACGGGUGAGUAACACGUGAGUAACCUGCCCUUGACUCUGGGAUAACUGCGGGAAACUGUAGCUAAUACCGGAUACGACCCUCGGAGGCAUCUCCUGGGGGUGGAAAGAAUUUCGGUCAAGGAUGGACUCGCGGCCUAUCAGCUAGUUGGUGAGGUAAAGGCUCACCAAGGCGACGACGGGUAGCCGGCCUGAGAGGGUGACCGGCCACACUGGGACUGAGACACGGCCCCGACUCCUACGGGAGGCAGCAGUGGGGAAUAUUGCACAAUGGGCGCAAGCCUGAUGCAGCAACGCCGCGUGAGGGAUGACGGCCUUCGGGUUGUAAACCUCUUUUAGCCGGGAAGAAGCGAAAGUGACGGUACCUAAAGAAGAAGCACCGGCUAACUAUGUGCCAGCAGCCGCGGUAA